GGCCCAAAAUUGAUACAAUCUUAGCUCUUUACUUAGUUUGAAUUCAUGACCAUUAACUACAUAGUCACAAUUGUAUAAACGCCCACUUUACAAAAAUAGCCAUUUUUGCAAAUCCGGCAAAAUGGCCAGAUUCACAAAGAUAUUAUCACAGCAUUCCUAGAAGCAUAUGUUGGCAGUGAAAUUUCAACAACUAAAACGAACUCAUGUUAUGUGUUAUACACCUAAAGUCAUUCAUGACAUACUUAGCAUUGUUACUCGGAUAUAAUAGCUUGAAAACAUGCUUAAAAAAUCCAUAAACGACUUACAUAUCACAUUCAAAAACUUACAACUCAAUAUUCAAGUAUUAUGAAGGACUAUAUUCACAUUAUCACAUGUUUUAUACAUAACAAUAACAUACAAGUUCUUUUGUUGUCAAACUAUUCAUAACAUCAAACACAUUUAAAUGGUGCAGCAUGUUCAAGUUGUUCCCAUUGCUGAAAAUACGUACAUUACGAGUCUUAAAGGAUUACCCGGUAGCAAAAGAAUAAACAGUAGUUCAGAUCUUAAAGAGGGAACCCAGAAGAGAACUCUAAAGAGGACUUAUACUUUUUUAAAAGUUUGCACUCUAAGAUUCACUCUCAAAGCUCACCAUUUCAGCUUACUUUUCAUGUGUUCAACUGCUGAAUUUUUUUUUGUUUUAGUGACAAAGCAAUUAUAAAAAAUGCCCCCCCCCCCCCAAAAGUGUGAUGGAGUCCCCUCUAUAUAUCAAAACAACGAGCUAUUUCAAAAAAAUUAAAAAUCAAUCUUUUUGACAGAUUUUUCUACAAAAUCUGCUCUUAAAUUCAAAAACAAGACUUUCUAGUUCAAAUCUUGUCAAGUAUUUCAAACAAAAUCUGCUCUCCACUAUUCAAAAAUAGACUUUAUUCAAAUAAUGUCCAAAGGUCUACAUUUUCUUACCAAACAAUUUGACUUUUAAGUGUUGUACUCAAAGAGUCUUGAAGCAGUAAACAAACAACCAAACAAGUACCAUAUACUCUUAAGUAUUUUUCAUUACCUCACUUUUAUCAAUACAAAACUAUUUUACUACUUCAACAAGUGCAAAAACUGAAAAUUUAACAUUUCAAACUUCAAAAACUAAUGCUAAAAUAAUUAAUAAUAGACAAAAAUAAAAUCUGAUAAUUAAAAAUAAAAAUAAAAAAAUCAGCCAUGAAAAAGAAUAGUAUUUUACCAUUUUACACAUCAAAAGGCCGAAAAAAUGGUGGUAUGCCAAAGAGGGUGUUCCGGGAGGUCGCUGGAAUUAGGCCGGAUUUUGGUCGCCGGAUUUUUGGGGCAGAAUUGACAUCAAUAGCUAGGUCUUGAGGAGCUCUAUCCAUUGAUGUAGGUAUUUUGGGGUGGUAGUGGUUGGAGCUUCAAGAAUUUGGGCAAAAAAGUGACGGAAAAGUUUUCUUAGAUCUAAGAUUCAAGGAGUUUGAGGGAUUUUUUUACGAUUUGGUUUGGAGAUAUGGAAAAAGGAAGUUGUGGAGAUUACGUGGUGUGAAUUUGGAGGUGUUUGGAGGUGGUCCGCCGGUGGCGGCGAUUUCCGACAGGCGGCGGUGGGCGUAGCUGGGGUGGCGUAGAGAGAGUGAAAAGAGAGAAAAGAGAGAAGAAGGAGAGGGAAAGAAGAGAGAGGAAAUAAGGGGGAAAUGGGGGAAAUUUUUGGGGAUUUUAGGCUUUAAAUACCUAGGAUGAAGUUCAAACUAGGACUGUUGGAUUAAAUCAAGAUGGGUGGAUGAGAUUGAAUCUUGNN
This 1765-nucleotide long non-coding RNA is filed under the name Nicotiana tabacum (common tobacco). Its description in RNAcentral is "long non-coding RNA (NTAB_LNC004809)". The record is from RNAcentral. Lineage: Eukaryota; Viridiplantae; Streptophyta; Magnoliopsida; Solanales; Solanaceae.